GGGCCUGUGGCGGAAUCGGCAGACGCGACGGACUUAAAAUCUGCUGGGGCUUACGCCCCUUGAGGGUUCGACUCCCUCCGGGCCCA
This 86-nucleotide transfer RNA is filed under the name Phycisphaeraceae bacterium. RNAcentral describes it as "tRNA-Leu". It matches the Rfam family "tRNA". Rfam says of the family: Transfer RNA (tRNA) molecules are approximately 80 nucleotides in length. Their secondary structure includes four short double-helical elements and three loops (D, anti-codon, and T loops). Further hydrogen bonds mediate the characteristic L-shaped molecular structure. tRNAs have two regions of fundamental functional importance: the anti-codon, which is responsible for specific mRNA codon recognition, and the 3' end, to which the tRNAs corresponding amino acid is attached (by aminoacyl-tRNA synthetases). tRNAs cope with the degeneracy of the genetic code in two manners: having more than one tRNA (with a specific anti-codon) for a particular amino acid; and 'wobble' base-pairing, i.e. permitting non-standard base-pairing at the 3rd anti-codon position. The record is from RNAcentral. Lineage: Bacteria; Pseudomonadati; Planctomycetota; Phycisphaerae; Phycisphaerales; Phycisphaeraceae. RNAcentral also lists the same sequence under 1 other name.